Molecule: long non-coding RNA, 730 nt
Filed under: Panax ginseng (ginseng)
Lineage: Eukaryota; Viridiplantae; Streptophyta; Magnoliopsida; Apiales; Araliaceae
Description: long non-coding RNA (PGIN_LNC014908)
Source: RNAcentral
CAAAUAACAAAAAUUCGUUCUCUUAAAUUAAUUAAUACAAAUAAUCCUAAAUUAAUUAAUACAAAAAUUAAUGCAGUCUUCUUUCUCUUGAUGAAUUCGUAGUCUGCAAAAUCCUAACACCACCAACCAACGGUCCGACCGGCUGCGGCAUAGACCCUUUAGAGUCCCGAUGCUGAUUUUGAAUUAGAGCAAGUUUGCUAUGGAUCUGAAGACACAAACAUACUCAAAUUUCUUUGACAUCAAACCAAAACAUAAAUUAAAUUCGUUCACAUCAAUUUAAACUAAUUAAUCUGAAAAAAAAUUCAUGAACCCUUGGUUCAUUUUCAUAUCCGAAAAAGAAAACAAUAAUUUUCGAUUCACCAAACUUUCCAACAGUUCCAAUUCAAACAACAUAGAAAAAUCCUAAAUCGACAGAUCCAAUUAUUAAUAUGAGUUUCCUAAUCUGGUGUAGGAAAAAGAUGGCUUGAUGAGCUUUAAAUCGACUAACCCGAACGAUUGUGACGACGAAGUUGACGAUGACAACGAACUAUCGGCGGUGGUUGAGAGGAUCAUGAGCUCAGAUUUGAUGAGCACAUCUUAGUACCUCGGCAUCUUAGUAUCUCGGCAUCAGAUUUGUUCCAGUGAAGACUUUAUCAAAUACUGAGAUUUGGAGAUGAGAGUGAGAUCAGGUGAACGGAUUUGCACAUCAAAUUUACCUCAUCUCCAAAUCAGAUCAAAGAAAGGAGAAAGG